This 230-nucleotide ribosomal RNA is filed under the name uncultured bacterium. RNAcentral's name for it is "partial 16S ribosomal RNA". It matches the Rfam family "Bacterial small subunit ribosomal RNA", at positions 104 to 334 of the family's 1533-position model. The record is from RNAcentral.
GGGUAGAGGAACAUGUACGCAACCUUCCUUUAACUGGGGAAUAGCCCUCGAAAGAGGGAUUAAUACUCCGUAAGAUAAUGAUAAGGCAUCUUAUUAUUAUUAUAGCUCCGGCGGUUAAAGAUGGGCGUGCAACUGAUUAGAUAGUUGGCGGGGUAACGGCCCACCAAGUCAGCGAUCAGUAACUGGUGUGAGAGCACGACCAGUCACACGGGCACUGAGACACGGGCCCG